GAUGAACGCUGGCGGCGUGCCUAAUACAUGCAAGUCGAGCGAACGGACGAGAAGCUUGCUUCUCUGAUGUUAGCGGCGGACGGGUGAGUAACACGUGGCUAACCUACCUAUAAGACUGGGAUAACUUAGGGAAACCGGAGAUAAUACCGGAUAAUAUUUUGAACCGCAUGGUUCAAAAGUGAAAGACGGUCUUGCUGUCACUUAUAGAUGGAUCCGCGCUGCAUUAGCUAGUUGGUAAGGUAGCGGCUUACCAAGGCAACGAUGCAUAGCCGACCUGAGAGGGUGAGCGGCCACACUGGAACUGAGACACGGUCCAGACUCCUACGGGAGGCAGCAGUAGGGAAUCUUCCGCAAUGGGCGAAAGCCUGACCCAGCAACGCCGCGUGAGUGAUGAAGGUCUUCGGAUCGUAAAACUCUGUUAUUAGGGAAGAACAUAUGUGUAAGUAACUGUGCACGUCUUGACGGUACCUAAUCAGAAAGCCACGGCUAACUACGUG
This 497-nucleotide ribosomal RNA is filed under the name uncultured bacterium. RNAcentral describes it as "partial 16S ribosomal RNA". It matches the Rfam family "Bacterial small subunit ribosomal RNA", at positions 28 to 507 of the family's 1533-position model. The record is from RNAcentral.